RNAcentral lists this ribosomal RNA (484 nucleotides) under uncultured bacterium. Its description in RNAcentral is "partial 16S ribosomal RNA". It matches the Rfam family "Bacterial small subunit ribosomal RNA", at positions 29 to 507 of the family's 1533-position model. The record is from RNAcentral.
AGUGAACGCUGGCGGCAGGCCUAACACAUGCAAGUCGAGCGGAAGAAGGGAGCUUGCUCGUGGAUACAGCGGCGGACGGGUGAGCAAUGGCUAGGAACCUGCCUGGCUGCGGGGGAUAACGUGAGGAAACGGGGGCAAAUACCGCAUACGUCCUGACGGAGAAAGGGGGGGAGCUUCGGACCUUACGCUAUCAGACGAGCCUAUGUCGGAUUAGCUAGUUGGUGGGGUAAAGGCCUACCAAGGCGACGAUCCGUAACUGGUCUGAGAGGAUGAUCAGUCACACUGGAACUGAGACACGGUCCAGACUCCUACGGGAGGCAGCAGUGGGGAAUAUUGGACAAUGGGCGCAAGCCUGAUCCAGCCAUGCCGCGUGUGUGAAGAAGGUCUUCGGAUUGUAAAGCCCUUUUAGUUGGGAAGAAGAGCAGUAAGUUAAUACCUUGCUGUUUUGACGUUACCAACAGAGUAAGCACCGGCUAACUUCGUG